AGGACUGGUUUGAUGAGGAAACCACUGCCCUUCUCACUGACUACUGAGUGCCACAAGUUGCUCCCUGCUGGAAACACACCCUAUAGACUUUCCUGCUACAAUGGAAGAAGCAAGAACUCUACUACACAGAUUUCUUUCAUCAAGAACUCCACGGCAAGUCAAGUGAAACAGUGAGAGUGGAGAAAGAAACAAAGAAAUCUGUAAUUGGCUGUGAUCAAUAAAUUGUAAAACCAACUGCACUUGGACCAGCUGGGAUCAUUUUCUUGAUUUCCUUUUUAAAUAUAUUGUUUUUGAUGUAAAUAAAUACAACUGAUUUUCCUUUGUUGAUUUUAUAACUGUACUA
Orcinus orca (killer whale) is the source of this 343-nucleotide long non-coding RNA. RefSeq lists it as uncharacterized. The record is from RefSeq and is a predicted model, not a curated record. The transcript is spliced from 2 exons. NCBI's taxonomy places the organism in Eukaryota, Metazoa, Chordata, Mammalia, Artiodactyla, Delphinidae.